Molecule: long non-coding RNA, 462 nt
Filed under: Acyrthosiphon pisum (pea aphid)
Lineage: Eukaryota; Metazoa; Arthropoda; Insecta; Hemiptera; Aphididae
Description: uncharacterized LOC107883430
Source: RNAcentral
GGAGGCGCAAGCAGUCAUCACAAAAAAGCGAUCUAUUGUGGGCUAGUGAAACUGAUCGUGAUGAAUGGGAAGAAGCCCAAAACCAAUUGAAGAAUUCCAUUUUUCCUGAAUCUGACCAUUUACGAUGUUGAAUGUUUAUACCCAAUGGAAGCAUAAUUGAGUUAUUCAGCAUCAUGGUGUAAGAAACAUUUCAUUAACUUAAAAGCUAUGCGCAAAAUUUGUGAAGGGAGACAACAACUUAAAGAAAUGGAUCAACAGAAAAUAAAAAUUAUACUCUGUUUUGCGGUUUGGGACAUUAUUCGUAAAUGUAAAUAUUCAGACAAUUAGUGAUUCAAAAUUAUUAUGUUUAUUAUUUUUAUAAAUUGUGCAUUGUAUUUAUUUGGGAAAUUUGUUAAUAUUCUAUAGCUUACUGAUCAAUUAUUUAAGUAUCUACUUACCAAUAAAAUGUCCCAGGAUCAUAUA